This 465-nucleotide ribosomal RNA is filed under the name uncultured Klebsiella sp. RNAcentral describes it as "bacterial SSU rRNA". It matches the Rfam family "Bacterial small subunit ribosomal RNA", at positions 338 to 795 of the family's 1533-position model. Lineage: Bacteria; Pseudomonadati; Pseudomonadota; Gammaproteobacteria; Enterobacterales; Enterobacteriaceae. The record is from RNAcentral.
CCUACGGGGGGCAGCAGUGGGGAAUAUUGCACAAUGGGCGCAAGCCUGAUGCAGCCAUGCCGCGUGUGUGAAGAAGGCCUUCGGGUUGUAAAGCACUUUCAGCGGGGAGGAAGGCGGUGAGGUUAAUAACCUCAUCGAUUGACGUUACCCGCAGAAGAAGCACCGGCUAACUCCGUGCCAGCAGCCGCGGUAAUACGGAGGGUGCAAGCGCUAAUCGGAAUUACUGGGCGUAAAGCGCACGCAGGCGGUCUGUCAAGUCGGAUGUGAAAUCCCCGGGCUCAACCUGGGAACUGCAUUCGAAACUGGCAGGCUAGAGUCUUGUAGAGGGGGGUAGAAUUCCAGGUGUAGCGGUGAAAUGCGUAGAGAUCUGGAGGAAUACCGGUGGCGAAGGCGGCCCCCUGGACAAAGACUGACGCUCAGGUGCGAAAGCGUGGGGAGCAAACAGGAUUAGAUACCCUUGUAGUC